GACGGAGGCCCCGAGCGUUGUUCGGAAUUACUGGGCUUAAAGCGCGUGUAGGCGGAACGGUAAGUACUUUGUGAAAGCCCCGGCUUCAACCCGGGAAUUGCUUGGUAUACUGCCGUUCUUGAGGCAGGUAGGGGUCACUGGAACCUUAGGUGGAGCGGUGAAAUGCGUAGAUAUCUAAGGGAACGCCUGUGGCGAAAGCGGGUGACUGGGCCUGUCCUGACGCUGAGACGCGAAAGCGUAGGGAGCAAACGGGAUUAGAUACCCGGGUAGUCCCUGAGCGGGCUGGCAAGG
Molecule: ribosomal RNA, 291 nt
Filed under: uncultured prokaryote
Description: partial 16S ribosomal RNA
Rfam family: Bacterial small subunit ribosomal RNA
Source: RNAcentral